GGAGGGUGCAAGCGUUAUCCGGAUUCACUGGGUUUAAAGGGUGCGUAGGCGGAACAGAAAGUCCGUUGUGAAAUCUCCGAGCUUAACUCGGAAAUUGCGGUGGAUACUAUUGUUCUUGAAUACUGUUGAGGUUAGCGGAAUAUGUCAUGUAGCGGUGAAAUGCAAAGAUAUGACAUAGAACACCAAUUGCGAAGGCAGCUGGCUAAACAGAUAUUGACGCUGAGGCACGAAAGCGUGGGGAUCAAACAGGAUUAGAUACCCUGGUAGUCCACGCCCUAAACGAUGAUUACUCGACAUUUGCGAUACACAGCAAGUGUCUGAGCGAAAGCAUUAAGUAAUCCACCUGGGAAGUACGACCGCAAGGUUG
This 367-nucleotide ribosomal RNA is filed under the name uncultured bacterium. RNAcentral describes it as "bacterial SSU rRNA". It matches the Rfam family "Bacterial small subunit ribosomal RNA", at positions 527 to 896 of the family's 1533-position model. The record is from RNAcentral.